ACAUCCAUUUAUUUCCUACAGACAAGCUAAUAAAGAUGCCUACUCAAAAAGUGUGCCAGACUUGCAAACACAAAAUAGGAGUAGCCAGCAGGAAAUGCAGGCAAUGUGGUGCCAACCAACCCUACAAGGAGAAACUAUCCAAGCAAAAG
Gymnodraco acuticeps is the source of this 149-nucleotide long non-coding RNA. RefSeq lists it as uncharacterized. The record is from RefSeq and is a predicted model, not a curated record. Lineage: Eukaryota; Metazoa; Chordata; Actinopteri; Perciformes; Bathydraconidae. The transcript has 2 exons.